UAGGGUAUAAUGAAAUUGGUAUCAUGCUUGCUUUGGGUGCAAGAAAUUGUAGGUUCAAAUCCUACUACCCUAA
RNAcentral lists this transfer RNA (73 nucleotides) under Coeloseira compressa. RNAcentral describes it as "tRNA-Pro". It matches the Rfam family "tRNA". Rfam says of the family: Transfer RNA (tRNA) molecules are approximately 80 nucleotides in length. Their secondary structure includes four short double-helical elements and three loops (D, anti-codon, and T loops). The record is from RNAcentral. Lineage: Eukaryota; Rhodophyta; Florideophyceae; Rhodymeniales; Champiaceae.